GUUCUCCUGGAAGUUCUUUUGAGUGCGUGUCUGCUCUCGUCCAUGCAGGGAGGACAGUCUUGCGACAAGACACUAACUGCUCAGGCUCAACUCAGCGGGGGAUGUUCCAAACUUUAUGCAAAGGUAGUGUCCCAAAGACCUGGAUGGAGGGAGGAGUGGGAGAGUGAAAUUAACACCGUCACCAACUGUGUCAUUUUGUUACUGGACUGUCAAAAGGGUGGUUCAAAAUGAAUCUGAAACACGCCAAUAAUGCUUUCCAUCUCGGCCUUUGCCCUUGCAGGGCAGCUCCACAGCAAGGAGCCACCUGGCCCCAAACGUCAGCGAUGCCUGUGGCUCCCAGUAUCACCGUUUGGACUCCAAUCAGCAGGAACAUGACGCAAAGCCGAGGGAGUGAAAGGCUGCCAGGUUGAGCGUAUGUUUGGAAAUGUUCCAAAAGAUUUAGUCCAGUUAAUUCAUAAGUAUAUCAAAGAAGAUCUAUACUUUCCAUUCCAUCUAGCUGAUCUACUGCCUGACAGCUUUCCUUCUGGGUCUGACUUGUACAGAUUUUUUUGGAAUUGUAUCACUACUACUGGCUACUUGGGAAUUUCUUUAUUUGCCAUUUUCAUCUGGAGCAAAGUCCUUGCUGUGAGUAUAUUUAAAGUACCUUGUAGGUAAACUUUGACUCAUAAGUA
RNAcentral lists this long non-coding RNA (671 nucleotides) under Dasypus novemcinctus (nine-banded armadillo). RNAcentral's name for it is "lncRNA (ENSDNOG00000050515.1)". Lineage: Eukaryota; Metazoa; Chordata; Mammalia; Cingulata; Dasypodidae. The record is from RNAcentral.